GACGGGGGGGGCGAGCGUUGUUCGGAAUUACUGGGCGUAAAGGGCGCGCAGGCGGCUUGGGAAGUCUUGGGUGAAAGCCCCCAGCUCAACUGGGGAAUGGCCUGAGAAACCACUAGGCUGGAGUGCUGGAGAGGGAAGCGGAAUUCCCGGUGGAGCGGUGAAAUGCGUAGAUAUCGGGAGGAACACCAGAGGCGAAGGCGGCUUCCUGGACAGACACUGACGCUGAGGCGCGAAAGCUAGGGGAGCAAACGGG
RNAcentral lists this ribosomal RNA (253 nucleotides) under uncultured prokaryote. RNAcentral's name for it is "partial 16S ribosomal RNA". It matches the Rfam family "Bacterial small subunit ribosomal RNA", at positions 524 to 776 of the family's 1533-position model. The record is from RNAcentral.